UUAAGCUACAAAGAGCGUAGGGAGAAUGCCUAGGUACCAAGAGCCGAAGAAGGACGUGAUAAGCUGCGAAAAGCCACGGGGAGGAGCAAAUAUCCAUCGAGCCGUGGGUGUCCGAAUGAGGGAACUCAUACAGUAAAAAAAGACUGUAUAUCCAUACAUGAGUAAAGUAGUGUAUAGGAAGGGAACGUGGGGAACUGAAACAUCUUAGUACCCAUAGGAAAAGAAAGUAACAACGAUUCCUGAAGUAGUGGCGAGCGAAACAGGAAGAGCCCAAACCAUGGAUAGUAAUAUUUGUGGGGUUCGGAUUAUCAAUAAAGCCAAGAAUGAUGUUAGUAGAAUUACCAGGGAAGGUAAACCAAAGAAGGUGAAAGUCCUGUAUAUGAAAACAGAGUGAAGGCGAGAUAAAUCCAGAGUAGUGCGAGACACGAGAAAUCUCGUAUGAAAGAGCGGAGACCAUUCCGUAAGGCUAAAUACUACUUGGUAACCGAUAGAGAACAAGUACCGUGAGGGAACGGUGAAAAGGACCCCGGGAGGGGAGUGAAAGAGAACCUGAAACCCUAUGUUUACAAGCAGAUAGAGCGAUUUAAGGCGCGAUAUCGUACUUUUUGUAGAACGGUCCAGCGAGUUAUUGUAUAUGGCGAGGUUAAGUUCUGAAUAAGGAAUGGAGCCGAAGAGAAAUCGAGUCUGAAGAGGGCGAUAUAAGUCAUAUAUAAUAGACCCGAAACCGGGUGACCUAUCCAUGGUCAGGAUGAAGCUGAAGUAAAAUUCAGUGGAGGUCCGAACUGAUUGUCGUUAAAAAGGCACCGGAUGAACUGUGGAUAGCGGAGAAAUUCCAAUCGAACUCGGAGAUAGCUGGUUCUCCUCGAAAUAGCUUUAGGGCUAGCCUUGAGGUCAAAGAAUUAUGGGGGUAGAGCACUGAAUGAGGUAGGGGCCAAACCAGGUUACCAAACUCUAUCAAACUACGAAUACCAUAAUUAGAAUACUCAGGAGUCAGACUGCGGGAGCUAAGUUCCGUGGUCAAAAGGGAAAGAGCCCAGACCGACAAUUAAGGUCCCAAAGAUAUAGUUAAGUGGAAAACGAUGUGAAUUUGCAUAAACAACCAGGAUGUUGGCUCAGAAGCAGCCACUCAUUCAAAGAGUGCGUAACAGCUCACUGGUCGAGUGAAUUUGCGCGGAAAAUUACCGGGGCUAAACUAUACACCGAAAUUUCGGAUUUGUGAAUGUCUAAUAAUGUGUAUUAUUAAGAAAUAAAUUUUCUUUUGUCACGAAGUGACAAACAAAAUGAAAAAAUGAUAAAGAAUACACGAAAAGGAAAAUGAUGCAUAUUAUUAGACAUUUGCAAGUGGUAGAGGAGCAUUCUGUAGUAGGAAGAAGUCAAAGCGAGAGCAUUGGUGGACGAAGCAGAAGAGAGAAUGCUGGAAUAAGUAGCGAGAGCAAGGUGAGAAUCCUUGCCGUCGAAAGUCUAAGGUUUCCUGGGGAAGGUUCGUCCGCCCAGGGUAAGUCGGGGCCUAAGGAGAGGCCGAAAGGCGUAUCUGAUGGACAGCAGGUGGAGAUUCCUGCACUAUAGCUAGUUUUAAAAGAUGCAAGGGACGCAGUAGAGGAAGAUAACCAAGGAAGAGGAAAAACUUGGUCCGCAAGGGAUAGUGAAAAUUAAUAGUAACGAAAUAUCAAGAAUCACACUGACGAGAAAAGCUUGUAGAUAUUAACUAGAAAUACCCGUACCGCAAACCGACACAGGUAGAUGAGGAGAGGAUCCUAAGACGAGCGGGAGAAGCAUUGUUAAGGAACUCGGCAAAAUAACCCCGUAACUUCGGGAGAAGGGGAGCCUAAGUAAAAUUAGGUCGCAGAGAAAAGGCCCAAGCAACUGUUUAACAAAAACACAGGUUUCUGCAAAAUCGAAAGAUGAAGUAUAGGAGCUGACGCCUGCCCAGUGCUGGAAGGUUAAGGGAAAGAGUUAGGUGUAAACCGAAGCUUAGAACUAAAGCCCCAGUGAACGGCGGCCGUAACUAUAACGGUCCUAAGGUAGCGAAAUUCCUUGUCAGGUAAGUUCUGACCCGCACGAAAGGCGUAAUGAUUUGGGCACUGUCUCGACAAUGUACCCGGCGAAAUUGUAGUACUAGUGAAGAUGCUAGUUACCUGCGACAAGACAGAAAGACCCCAUGGAGCUUUACUGCAGUUUGAUACUGGGUUUCGGCAAGUUAUGUACAGGAUAGGUGGGAGACUAAGAAAGAAAGGCGUCAGCUUUUCCGGAGUCACCCUUGGGAUACCACCCUUAAUUUGUUGGAAUUCUAACUAGUGGUCAUGAUCUGGCCAGAGGACAAUGUCAGACGGGCAGUUUGACUGGGGCGGUCGCCUCCAAAAGAGUAACGGAGGCGCCCAAAGGUUCCCUCAGUGCGGACAGAAAUCGCACGAAAGAGUGUAAAGGCAGAAGGGAGCUUAACUGGAAGAUAGACAUAUCGAGCAGAUACGAAAGUAGGGCUUAGUGAUCCGGUGGAAAUUGAAUGGAAAAGCCAUCGCUCAACGGACAAAAGUUACCCUGGGGAUAACAGGCUUAUCUCCCCCAAGAGUUCACAUCGACGGGGAGGUUUGGCACCUCGAUGUCGGCUCAUCGCAUCCUGGAGCGGAAGUACGUUCCAAGGGUUGGGCUGUUCGCCCAUUAAAGCGGUACGCGAGCUGGGUUCAGAACGUCGUGAGACAGUUCGGUCCUUAUCUGUCGCAGGCGGAAGAUAUUUGAGAGGAGCUGUCCUUAGUACGAGAGGACCAGGAUGGACAUACCGAUGGUGUAUCAGUUGUCACACCAGUGGCACGGCUGAGUAGCCAAGUAUGGAAGGGAUAAACGCUGAAAGCAUCUAAGUGUGAAGCCCACCUCAAGAUAAGAUAUCUCAUAUCGUAAGAUAGUAAGAUUCCAUAAAGACUAUGUGGUUGAUAGGUUGGAGGUGUAAGUAUAGCAAUAUAUUGAGCUGACCAAUACUAAUAAAUCGAGGGCUUAACCAC
This 2993-nucleotide ribosomal RNA is filed under the name human gut metagenome. RNAcentral describes it as "bacterial LSU rRNA". It matches the Rfam family "Bacterial large subunit ribosomal RNA". The record is from RNAcentral.